RNAcentral lists this transfer-messenger RNA (219 nucleotides) under Chitinophagaceae bacterium. RNAcentral describes it as "partial transfer-messenger RNA". It matches the Rfam family "transfer-messenger RNA", at positions 148 to 374 of the family's 374-position model. From Rfam's summary of the family: Bacterial tmRNA, also known as 10Sa RNA or SsrA, is named for its dual tRNA and mRNA-like properties. Its role is to liberate the mRNA from a stalled ribosome. Lineage: Bacteria; Pseudomonadati; Bacteroidota; Chitinophagia; Chitinophagales; Chitinophagaceae. The record is from RNAcentral.
CCGCGCAGGUUUGUCUGUUACCAAGCGCCGCCGCCGACUUAAAACAAAUACAGGCUGCUGCAACCGAAGGCUGUGACGGUUGCUUAAGACCAUCCAGCUAAGGAAGUUGUUGGUUUGUUCUGUUCCGGCAAUUUCCCGACAAGCAAUUCGGAAAUAAGCAUGUAGAAAGCUUUUGAAUGUCAUGUUUGGACACGGGUUCGACUCCCGUCGGCUCCACCU